UGUGUGGUUAUCUUUUAAUAGUACACUGUAAUUUUUUUUUUUUCCAUUUCAGAGACGAAUGAAUGCAUUUGCUGAAAAUAAAGCUCAACAAAGAGGAAAAGUGAAAGGUAAAGUGGACUGAUUGAAAGAUGAAGUCACCUUUUGACAGGCUUAAUAUCUAGGCAUGGAGGAUCCGCCAUCAACCAUCUCAUUAGCAACCUAACCACAAGAAUUCGUAGCUCGAGGAUAUUCACAUCAAGCAUUGCUAGGAAUAAGGGAAGGUUGAGAAGGAUUGCAGUGAGCAGGUAAAUUUUUUGGUUUCUUUCUCCCUUUCUAAGUUUUUAUUUUUUCUGUGUUUGUUUUGUUUUGGACUGGGAAGAAAGGGGAGGGGAAUACAUAUGAUUGUGUAUUUGUAUAUGAUGGUAUGCUUUACAAAUUACAUAUACAUGUUUUCCUUGUCCAUUGCAUUUU
Long non-coding RNA from Ipomoea nil (Japanese morning glory), 450 nucleotides. RefSeq lists it as uncharacterized. The transcript is spliced from 3 exons. The record is from RefSeq and is a predicted model, not a curated record. Lineage: Eukaryota; Viridiplantae; Streptophyta; Magnoliopsida; Solanales; Convolvulaceae.